Molecule: ribosomal RNA, 459 nt
Filed under: uncultured bacterium
Lineage: Bacteria
Description: partial 16S ribosomal RNA
Rfam family: Bacterial small subunit ribosomal RNA
Source: RNAcentral
CCUACGGGUGGCAGCAGUGAGGAAUAUUGGUCAAUGGCCGGAAGGCUGAACCAGCCAAGCCGCGUGAAGGACGAAGGUGCCAAGCAUUGUAAACUUCUUUUGUCAAGGGACAAAAUCAGGUUCGAGAGCCUGAACGAGGGGACUUGAAGAAAAAGCAUCGGCUAACUCCGUGCCAGCAGCCGCGGUAAUACGGAGGAAGGGAGUGUUAUCCGGAUUUUUGGGGUUUAAAGGGUGAGUAGGUGGACUGUUAAGUCAGCGGUAAAAACCCGGGGCUCAACCCCGGCGAGCCGUUGAAACUGGCUGUCUUGAGAUGUCGAGAGGUAUGCGGAAUGCGCGGUGUAGCGGUGAAAUGCUUAGAUAUUGCGCAGAACUCCGAUUGCGAAGGCAGCAUACCGGCGGCGAUCUGACGCUGAGGCACGAAAGCGUGGGUAUCGAACAGGAUUAGAUACCCCGGUAGUC